RNAcentral lists this transfer RNA (74 nucleotides) under Actinoplanes lutulentus. RNAcentral's name for it is "tRNA-Ile". It matches the Rfam family "tRNA". From Rfam's summary of the family: Transfer RNA (tRNA) molecules are approximately 80 nucleotides in length. Their secondary structure includes four short double-helical elements and three loops (D, anti-codon, and T loops). The record is from RNAcentral. Lineage: Bacteria; Bacillati; Actinomycetota; Actinomycetes; Micromonosporales; Micromonosporaceae.
GCCGUCGUAGCUCAGCCGGUCAGAGCACAGAGCUGAUAACUCUGAGGUCAGCGGUUCGAUUCCGUUCGACGGCA